AGUGAACGCUGGCGGUAGGCCUAACACAUGCAAGUCGAACGGCAGCACAGUAAGAGCUUGCUCUUACGGGUGGCGAGUGGCGGACGGGUGAGGAAUAGAUCGGAAUCUACUUUUUCGUGGGGGAUAACGUAGGGAAACUUACGCUAAUACCGCAUACGAUCUACGGGUGAAAGCAGGGGAUCUUCGGACCUUGCGUGAUUGAAUGAGCCGAUGUCGGAUUAGCUAGUUGGCGGGGUAAAGGCCCACCAAGGCGACGAUCCGUAGCUGGUCUGAGAGGAUGAUCAGCCACACUGGAACUGAGACACGGUCCAGACUCCUACGGGAGGCAGCAGUGGGGAAUAUUGCACAAUGGGCGCAAGCCUGAUCCAGCCAUACCGCGUGAGUGAAGAAGGCCUUCGGGUUGUAAAGCCCUUUUGUUGGGAAAGAAAAGCAGCAGAUUAAUACCCCGCUGUUCUGACGGUACCCAAAGAAUAAGCACCGGCUAACUUCGUG
This 492-nucleotide ribosomal RNA is filed under the name uncultured bacterium. Its description in RNAcentral is "partial 16S ribosomal RNA". It matches the Rfam family "Bacterial small subunit ribosomal RNA", at positions 29 to 507 of the family's 1533-position model. The record is from RNAcentral.